UGACUAUAUCUCAUGUGUAUGAUUGAGUAUAAGAACUAAAACCGUAAAA
This 49-nucleotide small RNA is filed under the name Arabidopsis thaliana (thale cress). RNAcentral's name for it is "ATSL040780". The record is from RNAcentral. Lineage: Eukaryota; Viridiplantae; Streptophyta; Magnoliopsida; Brassicales; Brassicaceae.